GAUGAACGCUGGCGGCGUGCUUAACACAUGCCAGUCGAACGGAAAGGCCCAAGCUUGCUUGGGUACUCGAGUGGCGAACGGGUGAGUAACACGUGGGUGAUCUGCCCUGCACUUCGGGAUAAGCCUGGGAAACUGGGUCUAAUACCGGAUAGGACGAUGGUUUGGAUGCCAUUGUGGAAAGUUUUUUCGGUGUGGGAUGAGCUCGCGGCCUAUCAGCUUGUUGGUGGGGUAAUGGCCUACCAAGGCGUCGACGGGUAGCCGGCCUGAGAGGGUGUACGGCCACAUUGGGACUGAGAUAAGGCCCAGACGCCUACGGGAGGCAGCAGUGGGGAAUAUUGCACAAUGGGCGCAAGCCUGAUGCAGCGACGCCGCGUGGGGGAUGACGGCCUUCGGGUUGUAAACUCCUUUCGCUAGGGACGAAGCGUUUUUGUGACGGUACCUGGAGAAGAAGCACAGGCUAACUACGU
RNAcentral lists this ribosomal RNA (467 nucleotides) under uncultured bacterium. RNAcentral's name for it is "partial 16S ribosomal RNA". It matches the Rfam family "Bacterial small subunit ribosomal RNA", at positions 28 to 506 of the family's 1533-position model. The record is from RNAcentral.